Molecule: ribosomal RNA, 253 nt
Filed under: uncultured bacterium
Lineage: Bacteria
Description: partial 16S ribosomal RNA
Rfam family: Bacterial small subunit ribosomal RNA
Source: RNAcentral
UACGUAGGGGGCAAGCGUUGUCCGGAUUUAUUGGGCGUAAAGAGCGUGUAGGCGGUCAGAUAGGUCCGUUGUAAAAACUCGAGGCUCAACCUCGAGACGCCGAUGGAAACCAUCUGACUAGAGUCCGGAAGAGGAGAGUGGAAUUCCUGGUGUAGCGGUGAAAUGCGCAGAUAUCAGGAAGAACACCCGUGGCUAAGGCGGCUCUCUAGUACGGUACUGACGCUGAGACGCGAAAGCGUGGGGAGCGAACAGG